UACGGAGGGUGCGAGCGUUGUCCGGAUUUAUUGGGUUUAAAGGGUGCGUAGGCGGCCCGUUAAGUCCGGGGUGAAAGCCCGCUGCUCAACAGCGGAUCUGCCCUGGAUACUGACGGGCUUGAGUACAGACGAGGUUGGCGGAAUGGACAGAGUAGCGGUGAAAUGCAUAGAUACUGUCCAGAACCCCGAUUGCGAAGGCAGCUGACUAGGCUGUUACUGACGCUGAGGCACGACAGCGUGGGGAGCGAACAGG
Molecule: ribosomal RNA, 253 nt
Filed under: uncultured bacterium
Lineage: Bacteria
Description: partial 16S ribosomal RNA
Rfam family: Bacterial small subunit ribosomal RNA
Source: RNAcentral